UUUCUACUCCCUCCGUUCGAAAAUAUUUUUCAUUAAAAUUGAUAAAAAGAGAUGUAUCUAAAACUAAAAUACGUCUAGAUACAUUUCCUUUUAUCCAUUUUGAUACCAAGUAUUUCCGGACGGAGGGAGUAUUUG
Molecule: non-coding RNA, 135 nt
Organism: Triticum urartu
Lineage: Eukaryota; Viridiplantae; Streptophyta; Magnoliopsida; Poales; Poaceae
Source: Rfam